ACUCCUACGGGAGGCAGCAGUGGGGAAUUUUGGACAAUGGGGGCAACCCUGAUCCAGCCAUGCCGCGUGAGUGAAGAAGGCCUUCGGGUUGUAAAGCUCUUUCGGACGGAACGAAAUGGUUAGCGUGAAUAUCGCUGACUGAUGACGGUACCGUAAGAAGAAGCACCGGCUAACUACGUGCCAGCAGCCGCGGUAAUACGUAGGGUGCGAGCGUUAAUCGGAAUUACUGGGCGUAAAGCGUGCGCAGGCGGCUCUAUAAGACAGAUGUGAAAUCCCCGGGCUUAACCUGGGAACUGCGUUUGAAACUACGGAGCUAGAGUGUGGCAGAGGGGGGUGGAAUUCCACGUGUAGCAGUGAAAUGCGUAGAUAUGUGGAGGAACACCGAUGGCGAAGGCAACCCCCUGGGCCAACACUGACGCUGAGGCACGAAAGCGUGGGGAGCAAACAGGAUUAGAUACCCUGGUAGUCCACGCCCUAAACUAUGUCAACUAGUUGUCGGGAAAGCAAUUUCUUGGUAACGAAGCUMACGCGUGAAGUUGACCGCCUGGGGAGUACGGUCGCAAGAUUAAAACUCAAAUGAAUUGACGG
Molecule: ribosomal RNA, 588 nt
Filed under: uncultured Nitrosomonadaceae bacterium
Lineage: Bacteria; Pseudomonadati; Pseudomonadota; Betaproteobacteria; Nitrosomonadales; Nitrosomonadaceae
Description: bacterial SSU rRNA
Rfam family: Bacterial small subunit ribosomal RNA
Source: RNAcentral